Molecule: long non-coding RNA, 510 nt
Filed under: Cyanistes caeruleus (blue tit)
Lineage: Eukaryota; Metazoa; Chordata; Aves; Passeriformes; Paridae
Description: lncRNA (ENSCCEG00000019733.1)
Source: RNAcentral
UAAAGUGAAAUUAAUCUCUGGAGUUUUAGUAACAAUAUUUGAAAUAUCUUUCUUUUUAUUAUUACUUCCCCAGAAAAUAUUGUAGUGUCAAUUUAUUGAGGGCUUUGACAUCUUCAAGGAAAGUUCUUGUAAAAAUGCAGCUUCUUCUUGCUUCUGAGGAAAGCUCCAGAGGCUUUGUCUAGACAAAAGCAAAAGAUUUGCGCUGUGAAGGGAGAGAUUCAAAGGACUGAAGUUGACACUAAACACCUACAGAGUGCAGCUGAUCAACACUGCGAGGACCUGAAAACUACCUACAAAGAAUCUGAAACCUCGACACCUGAAAAUAGGAGUCUUCUGAGAAAUGGGAACCCAAAACUGAAGGCUACCUAAACCAAGAGUCCCUUUUCCACAGCUCAGAAUCUCUUCAGCUACUUCAGACCUUUUGCCCUGGCAAGUCCAUUAGGAAGAAACACCAAGCAUAUGUGAGAGUCUCUUGCAGGGUCACCAUAACUGGAAACUGAUUUCAUUAAU